This is a long non-coding RNA of Gadus morhua (Atlantic cod), 1334 nucleotides long. NCBI's taxonomy places the organism in Eukaryota, Metazoa, Chordata, Actinopteri, Gadiformes, Gadidae. The record is from Ensembl.
GCAGAUAGUACAGUGCACCCUCUAGUUAUAUAUUUGUCUAUAUUAUUAUCUAGCAAUCUAUUAUCUAUUAUCUAGUCAACAUUUCUGAUUUUUCUUACACGUGUCUCACUAAGAAGAACUUGGCAAUGGAGGCUCAGAGGAAGAGCAAGCGUAAAAGGCAGCCUACAAGAGAUCUUGGACGCGUGGAGAAAGCCAUGGCAGAAUCUGUAGUGUGCUGCAGUGAUGGGUCUGACUUUGAGUCAGACACAGUACACCAGCCUACUAAAAGAGUAGCAGCUCAAGCUUUGGCGCUUGCAAAUAAAGAGGACCAAGUGACAGCAGCGCCCUCCUUGCACGAAAAGAGUAUUGAAAAAUCCUCUUCAUCUUCCUCCUCCACCUCCUCCUCAUCCUCCUCCGACAGUUCCUCCUCUUCCUCAUCACCUUCUUCAGAAAGAGGGAAGAAGAAGAAGAAGAAGAAGAAGAAGAAGAAGAAGAAGAAGAAGAAGAAGAAGAAGAAGAAGAAGAAGAAGAAGAACAACAACAAAAAAGACAGCAAGAAAAAAAAAGGGAAGAAAGGAAACAAAAAGAACACCAAGAUAGGAAAGAGAGUCCUCACCCCAGAAGAGUCCAUGGAUCGCUACAGGCGCGUCUUUGUAGCAGUGAAAAAGGGCAUGACAAAAACUGAGGCACACGUCAAAGUCGGGGUUGACCGAAAAACGGUGGCAGCAACGGCCGCCAUUUCGGAGCUACAGGCUGUUGACAAGGACCUGUAUGACCAGCUGAGGGCAUCAAUGCCCAAGGGAGAGACACUUUAUCUUUUUUCGGCAAAAUGUAAUCUAGAAAUACUUGGCAGGAACCUUCAGGAUAAGGUGAAUGAAAAAAAAAGCAACGGGGAACUUUUGCAAAUUGGACACCGGGCAUAGUAAAGAAGAGAGCAGGUUUUUGUUUUGUUUUUAGGGUGCCUUUUUUUUGUUCCAUUUUAAAAUGCCCUUUCUUUGGUUGAUUUGUUCAGUGACAUCAAGAAAUGCCUUGUUAAAAGUGCAGCCUUUAUUUUUGUUCCAUUUUAAAAAGCCUUUUUUUGUUUCUGUUUGUGUUUUAAAUUGUUAAUAUUUUCUGUAUUACCCCGUUAUUAUGUUAUUAUUAUGUUAAAAAUGUUUAACUAAAGUGGCUGUAGAUCCCUCAUUGUCAUCAACAGUGGUUUGGCGUUUUAUAACUAACCCUAAAGUGCUUCACUACUGGUAAACGAAUGAUUCAAAAAGCUUCACUACUGGUAAACGAAUGGUUGAAAAAGCUUAACUACUGGUGAACAAAUGGUUCGCGAAAGAGUAACAACUCAGUAUGAUGCAUUACUUUAC